CUCAUAGCGUAUAUUAAUGUUGUUGCAGUUAAAAAGCUCGUAGUUGGAUUCCUGACCUGGGGUAGCCGGUCCGCCUUGCAAAAGGUGCGCACUGAGCGGCCUCGGUCAUCCUUGAGAAGAGCGGUCCUGGCAUUCAGUUGUCGGGGUCGGGAUUCUCGACGUUUACUGUGAAAAAAUCAGAGUGUUCAACGCAGGCUUACGCCUUGAAUACAUUAGCAUGGAAUAAUGAGAUAGGACCUUGGCGGUCUAUUUUGUUGGUUUGCACGCCGAGGUAAUGAUUAAAAGGGACGGUUGGGGUUCUUCGUAUUCAAUUGUCAGAGGUGAAAUUCUUGGAUUUAUGGAAGACGAACUGCUGCGAAAGCGUCGAACAAGGACGUUCUCAUUAAUCAAGAACGAAAGUUAGGGGAUCGAAGAUGAUUAGAUACCAUCGUAGUCUUAACCAUAAACUAUGCCGAUUCAGGAUUGGCGGUCGUUUGUUCUCGACUCCGUCAGCACUGUAUGAGAAAUCAAAAUCUUUGGGUUCCGGGGGGAGUAUGGUCGCAAGGCUGAAACUUAAAGAAAUUGACGGAAGGGCACCACCAGGAGUGGAGCCUGCGGCUUAAUUUGACUCAACACGGGGAAACUUACCAGGUCCAGACAUAGUA
Molecule: ribosomal RNA, 644 nt
Filed under: uncultured eukaryote
Lineage: Eukaryota
Description: SSU rRNA
Rfam family: Eukaryotic small subunit ribosomal RNA
Source: RNAcentral